GCAGCUUCAGAGGCUCUUUUAACAACAUAAGCAAAACUGGGAGCCAACCUCAUUUUUUCCCCCUGGCUGUAAUGAACACACAGCUUAGCUACAGCAGUCUCCCACCCCCAGUAAAAUGAACUGGAAUUACAAAGCUUAUGAAGAAAACAAGUGUCAUUUUUUUCCCUCUAUCUUUUUCCUUUCUUUUUAAUUGUUUUUUUUUUCUUUCUUUCCUAUUUCUUUCUCUUUUUUUGGAUCGAAAGUAAGACCAAAAAAUGUCAAAAGGGAAAGGAGAGGGGUUCUGAGAUCAGUCUCAAAUCUCAGAAGAAGACUGCGGGAAAUGGUGCCAAAUUGAAGUGUUUAUCCAUGGCAGCCUCAAGCGGAGGCGGCGCCGGCUUCUUUGUACCACUCGACAUGCUCUGAUCUCAACCUGGUGGCCAGCGGCUGUCAGCACGGAGGCCUGGGCAUGGUGCUGCUUCCCUGGGUGAUGUCCACCAGGACCUCCAACAUCACCCGCUCAUUAGGAUGUCUCUGAACAGCUGUCAUGUGGUGCUGACUUUUUGUCACAGCUGAUAGUGGUGAGAUUAAAGCAGGUAGCCAGAGGCUGAAAGACUCUCUGUUUUGUUACAAAGCUCUGAGUCAUCUAGUCUCCUGUUAUAAAUAUCAGUCCUCAGAUUUGGAUUCACACUGAGUCACUUGCAGUCUUGGAUAGGACCCAUUGCACUAAUGGGCAAUUUUGUGUUGCAAGACUAUUAGUAUACAAGAUUGCCACCAUUGUCAAGAUAUCAAAAUGUGAUCUUGUGUGUUUAAUAGUUCAUAAUUAACAAGCUGUAUUGCUCUACUGAACAUCUUCCACUUAUUCAGUCAGAUUUUGAAAUGAGUAGUCAAUUCCCAAAGUUUUUCCUGUUUCAAACUCAGUGUUGGUUCCGGAAGGCAUACUGGGAAGAAGGAGGAUUGUGUAGGGCAAGAUUCAGGUGUCACACUUUGUUACAUGAAGUCAAGUGCUGCCUACACUAAAUGACCAUAUUUGCUUUCACAGAGAGAAACAAAACUAUGAAGGUAACCUGAAUAGGCUUAAGAGAAAGGAGUCCCUACUGCUUACUUCUAUCACUGCAGGGAGCCCAGGUGUCCCAGGGGACUUUAGGAUCAUUGCUAGCCAGUGAAAUGAGAAAAAUAAGGUGAAAUGAAGACUUUUCUAAUUACAGACACUGCUUGCAAAGCUCAUUGCUCUGUAGUUCAUAAGUGCACUUUAGGAGCAAUCUCAGAGAAGGACUUUGGCUUUGAAAGUAGUCUCAGAUUGUCAUCCAAACCACACCUACUCUCUUCUUGAUCCAAGGGAAGCAUAAACCCCCUGGAUAUGUAAGCUUUUACCCUGAAAACAUACCCUAGGGAAUCCUCAAUUUGAAAGUGAGUGGCUAACUAAUUAAUCCCAGCAAGAUCCAGGAAUUAGGCAAAGUUAAGCCUCUGAAUCUGUUAAGUACAAGUUGAACAAUCUUCAGUGUCUUCAGGAUCAACACAUGGCCUUGCUUCUGUCUGUUUUGAAAAGGAAAACAACUCUAGAUAUAACCAAAUGGUGAGAUUUCCCAAGUUCCAGGCUAUCAGCAUUGAAAAGAGUAUGAAAUAAGAUACCUCAAUUACUCUAAGCUUUUCUUUAUGGUCUCCAAUUCUAGAUUUUGAGUCUACCUGGAGAAAUACUUUGAGAAUUGUCGUUCUGCAGCUGGAGCAACUUAACUCUGUUUUGAAUUUUAGGUGCUAAGGAUCUUCAGAGUUAGAUCCACUGAGAUAUUUAGACCCACAGAUAUUUUGGCACCCAACUUCUGUUUGUCCCACCACCUGCAUCAACAGAGUUUAAAGUCAACUUGGGUGUAAAGAGCAUCAGAAAAUGAAAGUACCAAACAAUCUCUGCCUUUAGAGAGAGAGAAGGCAGUUGUUAUCUAAAAAUUUCCUCCACAUUAGGUUCUUAUUAUCUUUCCUUUUGCACCAUCAACUGUUCCAUGCAAUUGUGCUUGGAAUCAUUCAACUGAAAAGAAAGGCUCCCCUGUCCAUCUUCCUGGCAAACGUGUUCAAAGGUACCUCCUUUUUUCAUUCCCUUUCUCAGAUCUGGCUGGUGAAGCUUAUCAAACAGAGCGUUAACAGCAUAGCCUCUCUAAGUCUCCAAAGUCUGACCCCAAAUACAGAGAUCACUGAAUCUGUUGCGGGUUAGCAUAUGGCACUUGUUUGAGAACAUUGUUAGUGAAAGACUGAAUCCGGCAGCCUGACAGAUCCAAGUCUGCUGUAGCUAGCUCUAUGCCCUAUAAUCAACCACUACUGAUGCUGGGCAUAUACUGCCUAUAGAUACACACACACAGGCACUCAUAUGCAGCAUAUAUGCAUUUAUAAAUGCACAUACACAUCCACAUUGGUCACAGGUAGACACACAGAGCACUCAUACAAACAGCCUGUAGAAACCACUUCAUCCUGUCCUCUACCUGGCUGAUAAGAGUGAAAGUCUGUCAAUGCAAAAUAUAUAUAUAUAUAUAUGUGUGUGUAUAUAUAUAUAUAAUACGUACAUAUAUAUAUAUACAUAUGUAUAAUAAGUAUGCAUGCAUACAAGGGCUGCUCCAUAAGUAAUAGCUCUUAUUUCAUUAUGUUGGCCCACGAUGUCAGAGGUGGAUGUUGGUGGUAUCACACUGGGGGCUGAUCCUUCCCAUCAAUAUUCCACUACACUUUGUUGCUGUGUGAAAAGCUGCAUAUUCAUUGAAGUUUUCUGAAGGUUUAUGGAGACCAACCAGUGGAUGUCAGCAUGGUAAGGAGGUUUGCGGUGUGUUUCAGCAGUGGAAACAGUGACAGUGGGUCAGCUCAGGUGCUGCAGAUUUUUGUUAGUGCAGCAUGCAAGCUCUUGUUCAUUGCUUGUGAAAAUGCAGAGCUAAUGGUGGUGUCUAAGUUGAAAAAUAGUGUUUUGUAUCUGAGAAUCUGCUCUAUCAAAUAGCAUGUUUGUGCUCUUUGAACCUGAUGUAGUUUCCAUGGAAAUAAACAGGAGGCAUUAUUUUUGGAGCAACCUAUGUAUUUGCAGGCACACGUGUAUAAAAUAUAGAUCCACUAGUAGCUAGGCUCAAAACUUCAGUGUGCCCAGUGGCUGCUCCUGGGUCCCAGUCUUACUAGUUGCAGGCAAAACCUAAAGGGUUAAGUAAUCUGAAUGAAUGGGGAUUUUGGCUCCUCAGGUUAUUUUGGUUCCCCCCCACUGCUAGGCUCUCUGCUCCUCUGUGUGCAUGGAGAUGAGCCUUUUAUCUCACAAGCUGACAAAUAUCUGCUUUCUGUGAGAUUUUUUGUUGCCUGCCUAGAUCCUGCUCUGUCUCUGAGGCGCAUAAGCUCUGUCAUGCUCAUUACAUGGAGAGCAUCAGGAAACUUGUCCCCUCAAGCUACUGAUGACACAUUCACUUUGCACCUUCACAGAGAGAGAAAGGGGAGAUCUGCCUUUUGAAGCAGAAAAAGCAACUGCUGCAAACCUGCAGUGUGUUUAAUGGAAGAGGACGUCUGGUUUCCAUGUAACGCUAAUAAAGUAUUCAGUACACUGGCAGGAGGAGCCUGGAAUGGAUGUGGGUGGUGAGGGUUGUGGGAAGCAGAGAGGAGACAGAGGGGUGUUAGAGGAUGGCCAGCUUGUGAUAGCAGGGAAAUCA
Molecule: long non-coding RNA, 3635 nt
Organism: Gallus gallus (chicken)
Lineage: Eukaryota; Metazoa; Chordata; Aves; Galliformes; Phasianidae
Exons: 4
Source: RefSeq, a predicted model, not a curated record